UUGGAGGGCAAGUCUGGUGCCAGCAGCCGCGGUAAUUCCAGCUCCAAUAGCGUAUAUUAAAGUUGUUGCAGUUAAAAAGCUCGUAGUUGAAUUUCGGGAUUCAUCCGUUGGUCGGGCUUCACGGUCCGUACUGGUGUGAUGGGUUCCUACCUUCUGAAUAACCGGCAUGCCAUUAAUUUGGUGCGCCGGGGAAGCAGAACUAUUACCUUGAAAAAAUUAGAGUGCUUAAAGCAGGCAAGUGCCUGAAUAGGUUAGCAUGGAAUAAUAAAAUAGGACGGCAUGGUUCUAUUUUGUUGGUUUCUAGGAUCACCGUAAUGAUUAAUAGGGAUAGUUGGGGGCAUUAGUAUUCAAUUGUCAGAGGUGAAAUUCUUGGAUUUAUUGAAGACUAACUUCUGCGAAAGCAUUUGCCAAGGAUGUUUUCAUUAAUCAAGAACGAAAGUUAGGGGAUCGAAGACGAUCAGAUACCGUCGUAGUCUUAACCAUAAACUAUGCCGACUAGGGAUCGGACGAUGUUAAUUUUUCUUGACUCGUCCGGCGCCUUACGGGAAAC
Molecule: ribosomal RNA, 550 nt
Filed under: uncultured Glomeromycotina
Lineage: Eukaryota; Fungi; Glomeromycota
Description: SSU rRNA
Rfam family: Eukaryotic small subunit ribosomal RNA
Source: RNAcentral